AUUGAACGCUGGCGGCAGGCCUAACACAUGCAAGUCGAGCGGAUGAAGGGAGCUUGCUCCUGGAUUCAGCGGCGGACGGGUGAGUAAUGCCUAGGAAUCUGCCUGGUAGUGGGGGAUAACGUCCGGAAACGGGCGCUAAUACCGCAUACGUCCUGAGGGAGAAAGUGGGGGAUCUUCGGACCUCACGCUAUCAGAUGAGCCUAGGUCGGAUUAGCUAGUUGGUGGGGUAAAGGCCUACCAAGGCGACGAUCCGUAACUGGUCUGAGAGGAUGAUCAGUCACACUGGAACUGAGACACGGUCCAGACUCCUACGGGAGGCAGCAGUGGUGAAUAUUGGACAAUGGGCGAAAGCCUGAUCCAGCCAUGCCGCGUGUGUGAAGAAGGUCUUCGGAUUGUAAAGCACUUUAAGUUGGGAGGAAGGGCAGUAAGUUAAUACCUUGCUGUUUUGAUGUUACCAACAGAAUAAGCACCGGCUAACUUCGUG
This 484-nucleotide ribosomal RNA is filed under the name uncultured bacterium. Its description in RNAcentral is "partial 16S ribosomal RNA". It matches the Rfam family "Bacterial small subunit ribosomal RNA", at positions 30 to 507 of the family's 1533-position model. The record is from RNAcentral.